This 201-nucleotide ribosomal RNA is filed under the name uncultured bacterium. Its description in RNAcentral is "partial 16S ribosomal RNA". It matches the Rfam family "Bacterial small subunit ribosomal RNA", at positions 1297 to 1500 of the family's 1533-position model. The record is from RNAcentral.
AUUGCAGGCUGCAACUCGCCUGCAUGAAGUCGGAAUUGCUAGUAAUCGCGGAUCAGCAUGCCGCGGUGAAUACGUUCCCGGGCCUUGUACACACCGCCCGUCACACCAUGAGAGUUGGGAAUACCCGAAGCCUGUGAGCUAACGAAAGAGGCAGCAGUCGAAGGUAGAAUCAAUGAUUGGGUGAAGUCGUAACAAGGUACC